CCUACGGGUGGCAGCAGUGGGGAAUCUUGCGCAAUGGGCGGAAGCCUGACGCAGCGACGCCGCGUGCGGGACGAAGGCCUUCGGGUCGUAAACCGCUUUCAGCAGGGACGAGGCCCUCACGGCGACGGUACGUGCAGAAGACGCCCCGGCUAACUACGUGCCAGAAGCCGCGGGCAUAGGUAGGGGGCGAGCGUUAUCCGGAUUCAUUGGGGGUAAAGCGCGGGUGGGGGGGCUGGUAGGGCGGGGGUAAAAGACCGGGGCUCAACCCCGGUCCGCCCCCGAUACCGGCGGGCUUGAGUGUGGUAGGGGGAGGCGGAAUGCGCAGUGUAGCGGUGGAAUGCGCAGAUAUUGGGAAGAACACCGGCGGCGAAGGCGGCCUACUGGGCCGCAACUGACGCUGAGGCGCGAAAGCGAGGGGAGCGAACAGGAUUAGAUACCCUGGUAGUC
Molecule: ribosomal RNA, 447 nt
Filed under: uncultured bacterium
Lineage: Bacteria
Description: partial 16S ribosomal RNA
Rfam family: Bacterial small subunit ribosomal RNA
Source: RNAcentral